GACAAUACAAUGUUUUUUUUUAUUACAAUUUACCGCAGCGUUAUUUCAAUUUGCUGCAGUUUUUAUUACAACUUACCGCAGUUUAUUAAAUUU
Molecule: long non-coding RNA, 93 nt
Organism: Haliotis rubra (blacklip abalone)
Lineage: Eukaryota; Metazoa; Mollusca; Gastropoda; Lepetellida; Haliotidae
Exons: 3
Source: RefSeq, a predicted model, not a curated record